UCCUACGGGAGGCAGCAGUGGGGAAUAUUGCACAAUGGGCGCAAGCCUGAUGCAGCAACGCCGCGUGAGGGACGAAGGCCUUCGGGUUGUAAACCUCUUUUAGUAGGGAAGAAGCGACUGGGUUUUCCUGGGAGUGACGGUACCUGCAGAAAAAGCACCGGCUAACUACGUGCCAGCAGCCGCGGUAAUACGUAGGGUGCAAGCGUUGUCCGGAAUUAUUGGGCGUAAAGAGCUCGUAGGCGGUUUGUCGCGUCUGCUGUGAAAACCCGAGGCUCAACCUCGGGCCUGCAGUGGGUACGGGCAGACUAGAGUGCGGUAGGGGAGAUUGGAAUUCCUGGUGUAGCGGUGGAAUGCGCAGAUAUCAGGAGGAACACCAAUGGCGAAGGCAGAUCUCUGGGCCGUAACUGACGCUGAGGAGCGAAAGCAUGGGGAGCGAACAGGAUUAGAUACCCUGGUAGUCCAUGCCGUAAACGUUGGGAACUAGAUGUGGGGACCAUUCCACGGUCUCCGUGUCGCAGCUAACGCAUUAAGUUCCCCGCCUGGGGAGUACGGCCGCAAGGCUAAAACUCAAAGGAAUUGACGGGGGCCCGCACAAGCGGCGGAGCAUGCGGAUUAAUUCGAUGCAACGCGAAGAACCUUACCAAGGCUUGACAUAUACCGGAAACGGCUGGAAACAGUCGCCCCGCAAGGUCGGUAUACAGGUGGUGCAUGGUUGUCGUCAGCUCGUGUCGUGAGAUGUUGGGUUAAGUCCCGCAACGAGCGCAACCCUCGUCCUAUGUUGCCAGCACGUAAUGGUGGGAACUCAUGGGAUACUGCCGGGGUCAACUCGGAGGAAGGUGGGGAUGACGUCAAAUCAUCAUGCCCCUUAUGUCUUGGGCUUCACGCAUGCUACAAUGGCCGGUACAAAGGGCUGCGAUACCGCAAGGUGGAGCGAAUCCCAAAAAGCCGGUCUCAGUUCGGAUUGAGGUCUGCAACUCGACCUCAUGAAGUCGGAGUCGCUAGUAAUCGCAGAUCAGCAACGCUGCGGUGAAUACGUUCCC
Molecule: ribosomal RNA, 1040 nt
Filed under: uncultured Cryobacterium sp.
Lineage: Bacteria; Bacillati; Actinomycetota; Actinomycetes; Micrococcales; Microbacteriaceae
Description: bacterial SSU rRNA
Rfam family: Bacterial small subunit ribosomal RNA
Source: RNAcentral